This 922-nucleotide ribosomal RNA is filed under the name uncultured Bacteroidota bacterium. RNAcentral describes it as "bacterial SSU rRNA". It matches the Rfam family "Bacterial small subunit ribosomal RNA", at positions 1 to 916 of the family's 1533-position model. The record is from RNAcentral. Lineage: Bacteria; Pseudomonadati; Bacteroidota.
GGAUCCAGACUUUGAUUAUGGCUCAGGAUGAACGCUAGCUACAGGCUUAACACAUGCAAGUCGAGGGGCAGCAUGAACUUAGCUUGCUAAGUUUGAUGGCGACCGGCGCACGGGUGAGUAACACGUAUCCAACCUUCCGUUUACUCAGGGAUAGCCUUUCGAAAGAAAGAUUAAUACCUGAUAGUAUGGUGAGAUUGCAUGAUAACACCAUUAAAGAUUUAUUGGUAAACGAUGGGGAUGCGUUCCAUUAGGUAGUAGGCGGGGUAACGGCCCACCUAGCCUGCGAUGGAUAGGGGUUCUGAGAGGAAGGUCCCCCACAUUGGAACUGAGACACGGUCCAAACUCCUACGGGAGGCAGCAGUGAGGAAUAUUGGUCAAUGGGCGAGAGCCUGAACCAGCCAAGUAGCGUGAAGGAUGAAGGCCCUACGGAUUGUAAACUUCUUUUAUACGGGAAUAAAGUAUCCUACGUGUAGGAUUUUGUAUGUACCGUAUGAAUAAGCAUCGGCUAACUCCGUGCCAGCAGCCGCGGUAAUACGGAGGAUGCGAGCGUUAUCCGGAUUUAUUGGGUUUAAAGGGAGCGCAGACGGGAGAUUAAGUCAGUUGUGAAAGUUUGCGGCUCAACCGUAAAAUUGCAGUUGAUACUGGUUUCCUUGAGUGCAGUUGAGGCAGGCGGAAUUCGUGGUGUAGCGGUGAAAUGCUUAGAUAUCACGAAGAACCCCGAUUGCGAAGGCAGCUUGCUAAACUGUAACUGACGUUCAUGCUCGAAAGUGUGGGUAUCAAACAGGAUUAGAUACCCUGGUAGUCCACACGGUAAACGAUGGAUACUCGCUGUUGGCGAUAUACUGUCAGCGGCCAAGCGAAAGCAUUAAGUAUCCCACCUGGGGAGUACGCCGGCAACGGUGCAACUCAAAGGAAUUGACGG